ACGAACGCUGGCGGCGUGCCUAAUACAUGCCAGUAGAACGCUGAAGGAGGAGCUUGCUUCUCUGGAUGAGUUGCGAACGGGUGAGUAACGCGUAGGUAACCUGCCUGGUAGCGGGGGAUAACUAUUGGAAACGAUAGCUAAUACCGCAUAAGAUUGACUAUUGCAUGAUAGUCAGUUAAAAGGUGCAAUUGCAUCACUACCAGAUGGACCUGCGUUGUAUUAGCUAGUUGGUGGGGUAACGGCUCACCAAGGCGACGAUACAUAGCCGACCUGAGAGGGUGAUCGGCCACACUGGGACUGAGACACGGCCCAGACUCCUACGGGAGGCAGCAGUAGGGAAUCUUCGGCAAUGGACGGAAGUCUGACCGAGCAACGCCGCGUGAGUGAAGAAGGUUUUCGGAUCGUAAAGCUCGGUUGUAAGAGAAGAACGAGUGUGAGAGUGGAAAGUUCACACUGUGACGGUAGCUUACCAGAAAGGGACGGCUAACUACGUG
RNAcentral lists this ribosomal RNA (494 nucleotides) under uncultured bacterium. RNAcentral describes it as "partial 16S ribosomal RNA". It matches the Rfam family "Bacterial small subunit ribosomal RNA", at positions 29 to 507 of the family's 1533-position model. The record is from RNAcentral.